This 492-nucleotide ribosomal RNA is filed under the name uncultured bacterium. Its description in RNAcentral is "partial 16S ribosomal RNA". It matches the Rfam family "Bacterial small subunit ribosomal RNA", at positions 29 to 507 of the family's 1533-position model. The record is from RNAcentral.
AGUGAACGCUGGCGGUAGGCCUAACACAUGCAAGUCGAACGGCAGCACAGUAAGAGCUUGCUCUUACGGGUGGCGAGUGGCGGACGGGUGAGGAAUACAUCGGAAUCUACUUUUUCGUGGGGGAUAACGUAGGGAAACUUACGCUAAUACCGCAUACGACCUACGGGUGAAAGCAUGGGAUCUUCGGACCUUGCGCGAUUGAAUGAGCCGAUGUCGGAUUAGCUAGUUGGCGGGGUAAAGGCCCACCAAGGCGACGAUCCGUAGCUGGUCUGAGAGGAUGAUCAGCCACACUGGAACUGAGACACGGUCCAGACUCCUACGGGAGGCAGCAGUGGGGAAUAUUGGACAAUGGGCGCAAGCCUGAUGCAGCCAUACCGCGUGGGUGAAGAAGGCCUUCGGGUUGUAAAGCCCUUUUGUUGGGAAAGAAAAGCAGCAGGUUAAUCCACCGCUGUUCUGACGGUACCCAAAGAAUAAGCACCGGCUAACUUCGUG